AUUUUAGAGAACAGUGGAGCUUAUCACUGUGAUUUGUUUUCCUCCUUAUGAAACUGAUCAAAAGCAUUUUUCAUUCAAAAUGUUAUAAAUAAUCUUGUCCACCAGGGCUUCCCCUGGUGGUUCAGACAGUAAAGAAUCCGCCCGCAUUGCGGGAGACCUGGGUUCCAUCCCUGGGUUGGGAAGAUCCGCUGGAGAAGGGAAAGGCUCCAUUGCUCUGACCUGGAGAAUUCCAUCAACUGUAUAGUCCAUGGGGUAGCAAAGAGUCGGACACGAGUGUGCGACUUUCACUUUUAUAUUGUUUUAACACUUUCAUGCAAAAUUAUAUCUGAGAGCAUUUAACAGUUCUUGAAGACGAGCUCUGUCGCCCUGGCGGGCCGCCCUCCUGUCCCACGCGGCGGGGCAGCGCCGGCCUCAACCCAGGAGAGCGUUCGGGGAGCGCGCGGGCGGCUGGCCCCUGCCGCGCGGGCUGGCGGGCGGCGGCGACGGGCGGCUCCGCGGUGUGGGGACCACACACCGCCCGCCCGCGCCCGGCCCCUUGUCCUCGCGCGGCGAAGGUCCCGCGCGGCGGCGCUGGCGGCGGGACACGGUGGGCCCUGCGCGAAUUACAGGCGUUCCUUCUGAGGCUCCAUGUUAAGCCUCUCCCGGACGCGCCCUCCCGGCUCCCCGUCCCCGAAAGCCGCACCCCGGGGCCCCAAGGAGCCGCGCUACCGGCCCGCACCCCGCGUUCCCGGCCCCGGGCCUCAGGCUGCGGCAUCGCCAGCCCCCAGCCGCCGCCGGGACCGCGCGCCCGCGCCGCGGUCUGGUUCCGGAGCGGGGGCAGCCUCGGAAGGAAUUUUAUUGGAAACAAGGGAGCAAUACAACAACUGAUUCGAAUAACCAACCUGCUUCAGUGUGAAAAAAAUUAAUGUGAAGUACUGGAGAAGUGGUGUUGAAUAUAUGCUCCGUCUUUUGUAAGUUAAUUACACUGUUCAAAACUGUUUACAAACAGUUCAGUUGAGGUCAGUUCAGUCGCUCAGUCAUGUCUGACUCUGAGACCCCAUGAAUUGCAGCACACCAGGCCUCCCUGUCCAUCAACUCCCAGAGUUGACCCAAAAUCCUGCCCAUCGACUCGGUGAUGCCAUCUAGCGAUCUCAUCCUCUAUCCUCCCCUUCUCUGCCUGCCCCCAGCAUUCUCUGAUGCCCUCCCAGCAUCAGAAUCUUUU
RNAcentral lists this long non-coding RNA (1201 nucleotides) under Bos indicus x Bos taurus (hybrid cattle). RNAcentral's name for it is "lncRNA (ENSBIXG00005014887.1)". Lineage: Eukaryota; Metazoa; Chordata; Mammalia; Artiodactyla; Bovidae. The record is from RNAcentral.